Molecule: long non-coding RNA, 2001 nt
Filed under: Daphnia pulicaria
Lineage: Eukaryota; Metazoa; Arthropoda; Branchiopoda; Diplostraca; Daphniidae
Description: uncharacterized LOC124351141
Source: RNAcentral
UUUGCUUUCUUCUUAUCUACUAGCACACAGCAUUCAUUAAACGUUCAUAUAACGUCCAACCGUUCGUUUCAGGCAGCUCCGGACUACUAACCGUCUAUUUUAAUCUAUUUUUCGGUUUUUCAGAUGUGGAUAUCCAAUGGCUGUCCGACUUGUACCACCCUAGAACGUAUUAAAAUUUACGGUCGAUAGGAUCACCUCAGCGGACGAUAAACGGACGAAUCUAGUUUGUAUUAAUAAAUGUUCAUUGCUUUUCAUCUUUUGCCCCACGAAAGAAUAACAAUUUAAGAGGGAUUCCCAGCCAUUCAUUUGUAUGCGCAAGCAGAACGUUUUGGCUGGAUCGAGUUGGUGCCAAACGAUUGUCCGUCCAAAAUCAAGUUUAAUCAGACAAAUCACAUGAUUGAAUCGUGGCACCGCGGAAUGAACGAGUUAAUGAUGUGGUCCAUUCAGGAUUUUGAAUAUUUAUUGAUUAUCUCAAACGAGCUGCGGGAAUUACCAUUCGAGAUUUUUUUUAGGGGGAGGGUAGAAAGUGGAUGUCCAGUCCACCAAUUACGAAGAAGAAGAGACAUUAACCGAGACAGACAGAUAACCGGUCACCUUCAAGAAAACAUAAUUACCCUGCUGAAAUUUCUGAUCCCGUCUUCGAAUUAGUUUAAUCCGAUGGUGUGAGUCAUAAAUUAUCAUGGGGGGGGGAGGCUAAGGUAAGGAUGGUCACCAGAAAACCUGGAAAAAAUAUGAGGGAAUCGCUUCUGAAGUGCUGCUUCGGGCUGCGGACCCAAUCACUCCAGUUCCCGAGAUGAUCGUUCCAGCUUCCGACUCUGGAGGCGAUUGCUUCAGUUCUCGAGAUGAUUCCUCCAGCUCCUGUGAUGAUCGCUCCACCUGCCGAGGUGAUUGUUUAAGGUCCACUCCGUCAACGAAUUGUUCGCCGUAGAAACGCCGAGAUUGUUGUGAUAUUUGAGGGGGGAGACUAGUGCGCGUACCUCACACCCAUUAAUUUUAAAGAGAGAUUGCCCCACAACCUCCAGCAAACGGCAAGCCAAUGUUACGUGGGAGAACUUGCCCCAUGCGCAAGUACCGAAUGAACUCGUUCGUCUCUCAUUCCGCACUAAUGCCGCUCCGCUUCCUCAACUCAUGCAGAAUGGGGAUUUUAAAUGUAUUCAACACAUGUCUGGACCGUCCAGCAGAUUUGGGGUUCCAUUGUUGCGAACAUCAUUUUUAUAGUCAACAAUAUGCAUUUUAGAUAACUGUAACAGUAGUAAGCUACCUAGCGUUGCCAGGUCUUAUUGGAAUGGUGUCGCAAAAAACCGACGACGCUUUGGUCUUAUGUCGUUUAGGGUUUUUUCUGUGUGUUAUUCUGGCGAUUUAAGUAAGUCAUUUUUCGUUAAAGGACAAUUUUAUUUGCGCCUAGUGUCGUAAAUUUUUAUUCUAGAGUCACAAAUUCAAAUGUUCUUUUGGCCUUCGGUCCGGCUCCCCUAAAUAAUAUAUUGUAAUCCUGCAACAAGGUGAAUAUUAAUGUCGUGAAGAAGUCCAAGAACAACCCCGUCUCCACCUUAAUUGCUGGGCCACCACUUAUAACCAUCAAUUCGCUAAGUAAAUCUGAACUUAUUUCUCGUCUUUCUGCAGCUUUGUCCUUACUAGAGAACCAACUUGUUGACAUUUCCAAUCUUGAAUCAAACGUUUCCCGUCUUUAAAGAUUAUUUGGAUGGCCAGGACAAUCAGAAAAGUGCCUUAACGAUGAGGCUGUCAAAAUGAAAGUAACGUUUGCAGAUAGUGUUAUUGGCCUUUAACGGACUAUGACUCUUCCUGAUCUUGCUCGCCUGUCUGUCUGUUCCCCGUCUUAUACCUCUUUGGUCCAUGGCAACCUCUCUAAUUUUUUCCUGGUAGCCAAAUGUGUCUAUGGUUCUGCACUCGAGGGUUUCUGUGGUAAAGAACUGCUCUAUACUCCCAACAGAGGUCUCAUUCCUUCUCAUGUCCGAUACAAAAAAAAAUGUAAUGAAAUGAUGU